RNAcentral lists this ribosomal RNA (523 nucleotides) under Clostridioides difficile. RNAcentral describes it as "partial 23S ribosomal RNA". It matches the Rfam family "Bacterial large subunit ribosomal RNA", at positions 1875 to 2396 of the family's 2925-position model. The record is from RNAcentral. Lineage: Bacteria; Bacillati; Bacillota; Clostridia; Peptostreptococcales; Peptostreptococcaceae.
GGUUAAGGGGAUCUGUUAGAGCAAUCGAAGCAGUGAACUUAAGCCCCAGUAAACGGCGGCCGUAACUAUAACGGUCCUAAGGUAGCGAAAUUCCUUGUCGGGUAAGUUCCGACCCGCACGAAAGGCGUAACGAUUUGGGCACUGUCCCAACAACAGACUCGGUGAAAUUGUAAUUCCGGUGAAGAUGCCGGAUACCUGCGACAGGACGGAAAGACCCCAUGGAGCUUUACUGUAGCUUGACAUUGGGUCUUGGUACUACAUGUACAGGAUAGGUGGGAGGCUUUGAAACCAGGACGCCAGUUUUGGCGGAGCCAUCCUUGGGAUACCACCCUUGUAGUACUGGGACUCUAACCAUAGGCCAUGAAUCUGGUCUUGGGACACUGUCAGGUGGGCAGUUUGACUGGGGCGGUCGCCUCCCAAAAGGUAACGGAGGCGCUCAAAGGUUCUCUCAGUACGGUCGGAAAUCGUACGUAGAGUGUAAAGGCAAAAGAGAGCUUGAUUGCAAGACAUACAGGUCGAGCAA